Molecule: transfer RNA, 66 nt
Filed under: Brachionus calyciflorus
Lineage: Eukaryota; Metazoa; Rotifera; Eurotatoria; Ploima; Brachionidae
Description: tRNA-Met
Source: RNAcentral
UAUAGAGUAAACUAAAAUAAGUUAUAAGGUUCAUACCCUCAUUAUGGCUUGAUAAGCCCUCUAUAA